CGGUGGAAGAUAACCCAAAAGGGAUUCCUUCAGUAAUGGCGAAUGAACGGGGAAAAGCUCAGCAAAGAAAUCGAGGACUCCGGCCUUGAGUUGUGGACUUGAGAGGUAUCGCCAAUGGUGGCACAGGUGGGGGCCUUUUGGAAAAGGGCACCACAGAGGGUGUGAGUCCUGUUUGCCAUUUGUAGUCCGCCGUGUACGGCAUGCCUCCUCAGAGUCACGUUCCUUGGAAUUGGAGCGUGAAGGUGGUGGUGGCUUUCAUCUCAAGCUAAGUAUGGGUUCGAGACCGAUAGCAAACAAGUACCAUGAGGGAAAAUUGAAAAGAGCUUUGGAAAGAGAGUUAAAAGUGCCCGAACUUGCUGAUAGGGAAGCGAAGGGAGCAGACGUUGCUUGGUAACAUCUUCUGCGCAAGACUAGGAUGGGUUCUGAUUGCAAUGUGUGUAGUGUUUCUUGCCGUGCGUGUCGAUUCCAAGCAAUGAGUGGAGAGAGCUCCAGGGAUAUGAUUGUUUCUGUCCCCGGGUAGACGAAGGUGCCUGGUUGCAUCCAUUCGUGGGCUGAAAAAUUGGUGGCUGGUUGCAGCAUUCCCUUGCCUACUAAUGCAAUUGGAAUGUAGCCCUGACAUGCAGACGAGGACAAAGUGCUUCUGUUCGACCCGUCUUGAAA
This 660-nucleotide ribosomal RNA is filed under the name Prorocentrum lima. RNAcentral describes it as "partial large subunit ribosomal RNA". It matches the Rfam family "Eukaryotic large subunit ribosomal RNA", at positions 51 to 659 of the family's 3401-position model. The record is from RNAcentral. Lineage: Eukaryota; Dinophyceae; Prorocentrales; Prorocentraceae.